RNAcentral lists this long non-coding RNA (2239 nucleotides) under Homo sapiens (human). RNAcentral describes it as "HSALNT0273495". The record is from RNAcentral. Lineage: Eukaryota; Metazoa; Chordata; Mammalia; Primates; Hominidae.
GACAGAGCCAGUAUAAACACGGUCCCUCGUGAGUCAAGCGUCUGGGAUAAGUGAACAAACACUGGGCUGAAAACCUGGGACUGGCUGGUUGUUUAAGAGCUAUCACCUGCUCCUUCGUUCUCAUUGUAGCCCAGGGCUGGCUGGGUCAGGGGGUGCAUGUCUCAUCCAGAACCACACAGAGGCCAACAUUUUAUCAACGCUCACCAACCAAGACCCUCCACUUUUCCACCAGUUUGUCCACCGGUGAAAAGGAGAAGCCAGCCAAGAACCAGCAGCUUCUGGCUACCUUGAUCAGAAGGUUGAUGAAGGCAAUGAAACAAAGAUGGAAAAACACAUCACACAGGCCCUUACCAGAUGCCAGCAUCUUGAUAUUGGACUUCCCAGCCUUCAGAACUAUAAGGCUCCAGUCAAGCAACCCACCUUAUCAAGUGGACCAGGCACAGCUCCUACUUAUCCCUGAGUAGUGGGUAUCAGUUUCCUGCUAACCUCGGAAUUGUUCAAAGCCCAUCACAUUCUCCUGCAGGAACCAGGGAGCACCUCACCCUCUUGUUGCUACAAAGCUUGCCACCCACAGCCCCUGCCUGUUCACCCUGCUCCUGAGGGCAACCCCUGUAUGGCCAGCAUCCCAUGCUGUGUUCACCUCUCCCAAGCUGCGAGUGUAUGUGAAUAAUAACUGCCGUCAAUCGCAUCUGUUAAGCAUCGAGUGUAAUGUGUUUGGUCAUCCUCAUAAUUCUAGUGUGGAAUGUCUCCCUCACCAAUGGGGUGAACAGGAGGGAAUGAAAACAAUGUGUAAAAUAUUUAGACACCGCAAGAUACAUAUUUAGAGCCUGGCAAAUGUUAGUUAAGGCCAUUAUUGCUAUUAUUUUGCAAAAGGAUAAUAAUUUGGUUUUCUUUUAACAAAAUUUGUUUGGGCAGAAUGCUUAGCUCAUAGUGUUAUUCUUAGGUUCCUCCAAACAGCUUUUCUGGAAUUUUGUUUCCCUCAUUAGCAAUUACAAAGAUAUGCUAAUGCUCUGCACCAAGUGGCAGCUACAUGCUUGAGACCAACACUGAAAAUCAGUCAUGGAAUCACUGCAUAUCUGAACAAGGGCCACGAGAGGAGGCACAGAUGGGUCAACUGACUUGAGCAGAGCCACCCAGCAAAUUCAGCGUCGGAGUAUGGUAACUAGAUCUCCUGAUCCAACCAUCCUUCCCUGCACCCUCCCAUCUAGGCUAAUGAGGAGAAAUGUAAUCACGGUGGUAAUUGCAGGCAAAGAUGAGCAUCACUUGGUAAAGCAAUAUGUGUACUUGAGUUGGCCAUAUGGAAAAUCCAGUGCAGGAUAUGGGGGUGAAUGGUCAGUUGCUGUGUGUCAUUGGUGGGAUGGAAUCUAUGGCCUUCUUGGCUAUUCUUUACAUGAAACAUUUCCUGGGGGUGAUGGUCCAGUUAAAAGUCCUCUUAAAGAUAAAAUAAAACUAACUCAAACCAGUAUGUCAUGCUUCACCAGCUGGUGUUUCAACCAGGGAAGCCCAUGCCAAGAUGAGAAAGAAGUCUACCCUUCCCAUUGCUGAGCUGUGGCUCCUCCUUAUCAGUUCCUAGUAGGAGAAGCUAUGUUCCCCCUAGGCUAGAGGACUUCACAUUCUGGACACUGGCGGCUCAGGGGAGCUCUGUUGUACCACCACUGUGGCCCCAGAACCUGCUGUUGCUGUCCAAAUCCGGGGAGUCUAAGGAAAUGUCCCAUUCUCACUGCUGCUAAUAGUGAUUAGCAAGCUAAUGCAAUAUGUCCAGCUUUACCACACUCUCCCACUGUCCCCAGUGGCUGCUUUUUAUGGCUAUGCAAGUAAACACCAUCAGCCUGAGAAGGAGUGGCAUAAACUGAGCCUUUAUCUCUGGUCCUUUCCCUGCCCCAUGGUGCAGAUCCCACUUUGGGCUCAGCCAAGAGUGGGUCAUAUCAUAAUUGGAUUAGAUCCCAAUGUUAUUGUUUCAUAGGAACUCACACAACCAUUUCCUCAGGGUGCAAGGCUGCCAUCAGUAUGGCUGGGCUGGUGAAUUUUCUGGCAUCAGGAACCUAUGAGACCUAGAACUCCUGUCACCCUCUUAUGCCACCACACCUUCUUCCAUGGUAAAUGCUAGCUCAUUCAAUUAAUUAAAAAAUACCAGCAAGGUGCUUUUUAUUUAGUGCACACUUAUAUAGGCACUAUGAAUAUAGGAGGAAAGAUGAAAAAUUCCAGCCUUCACAAAGCCAAUAUUUCCAGUGUUACUGCC